AAUAGAUACCCAGGUAGUCCACGCCGUAAACGAUGUCGACUUGGAGGUUGUGCCCUUGAGGCGUGGCUUCCGGAGCUAACGCGUUAAGUCGACCGCCUGGGGAGUACGGCCGCAAGGUUAAAACUCAAAUGAAUUGACGGGGGGCCCGCACAAGCGGUGGAGCAUGUGGUUUAAUUCGAUGCAACGCGAAGAACCUUACCUACUCUUGACAUCCAGAGAACUUAGCAGAGAUGCUUUGGUGCCUUCGGGAACUCUGAGACAGGUGCUGCAUGGCUGUCGUCAGCUCGUGUUGUGAAAUGUUGGGUUAAGUCCCGCAACGAGCGCAACCCUUAUCCUUUGUUGCCAGCGGUUAGGCCGGGAACUCAAAGGAGACUGCCAGUGAUAAACUGGAGGAAGGUGGGGAUGACGUCAAGUCAUCAUGGCCCUUACGAGUAGGGCUACACACGUGCUACAAUGGCAUAUACAAAGAGAAGCGACCUCGCGAGAGCAAGCGGACCUCAUAAAGUAUGUCGUAGUCCGGAUUGGAGU
This 528-nucleotide ribosomal RNA is filed under the name uncultured bacterium. RNAcentral's name for it is "bacterial SSU rRNA". It matches the Rfam family "Bacterial small subunit ribosomal RNA", at positions 777 to 1304 of the family's 1533-position model. The record is from RNAcentral.